UUAACUAUUAUAUAGUACUCAGACGACAUUAUAAACAGAGUUUAGGGUCCUCUGGCGAGCACUCACCAGCGUGAGCCGGUGGCCGAAGCGGCUCGCCAAAGCAACAAAGGUAUAAUUAACAUAGGGUUGGAGAGUCACCCUUGCGGGCGAGUUUCUCUGUAAUGAUCCCUCCGCAGGUUCACCUACGGAGA
RNAcentral lists this unclassified non-coding RNA (191 nucleotides) under uncultured fungus. RNAcentral's name for it is "sequence contains ITS1". The record is from RNAcentral. Lineage: Eukaryota; Fungi.